UGCCAGCCGCCGCGGUAAUACGGGGGGUGCAAGCGUUGUUCGGAUUGACUGGGCGUAAAGAGCGCGUAGGCGGGUUUGCAAGUCGGAUGUGAAAGCCCCGGGCUUAACCUGGGAACUGCAUCCGAAACUGUAAAUCUUGAAUGCCCGAGAGGUUGGUGGAGUUCCAGGUGUAGGAGUGAAAUCCGUAGAUAUCUGGAGGAACACCGGAGGCGAAGGCGGCCAACUGGGGGAGCAUUGACGCUGAGGCGCGAAAGCGUGGGGAGCAAACAGGAUUAGAUA
Molecule: ribosomal RNA, 279 nt
Filed under: uncultured bacterium
Lineage: Bacteria
Description: partial 16S ribosomal RNA
Rfam family: Bacterial small subunit ribosomal RNA
Source: RNAcentral